GGGGUUGUGGCUCAGCAGCAGAGCGCUCACCUAGUACGUGUGUGGCCCUGGGUUCAAUCCUCAACACCA
This 69-nucleotide transfer RNA is filed under the name Ictidomys tridecemlineatus (thirteen-lined ground squirrel). Its description in RNAcentral is "Spermophilus tridecemlineatus (thirteen-lined ground squirrel) tRNA". It matches the Rfam family "tRNA". From Rfam's summary of the family: Transfer RNA (tRNA) molecules are approximately 80 nucleotides in length. Their secondary structure includes four short double-helical elements and three loops (D, anti-codon, and T loops). Lineage: Eukaryota; Metazoa; Chordata; Mammalia; Rodentia; Sciuridae. The record is from Rfam by way of RNAcentral.